AGAGCGAACGCUGGCGGCGUGCUUAACACAUGCAAGUCGAGUGCGCGUCCGUAGCAAUACGGAUGGCGCACGGCGCACGGGUGCGUAACACGUGGGCAAUCUGCCCUCGGAUGGGGGAUAACUCGCCGAAAGGCGAGCUAAUACCGCAUGACAUUCCCGGGACUCCGGUCCUGGGACUCAAAGGCCGCAAGGCCGUCUGAGGAGGAGCCCGCGCCCGAUUAGCUAGUUGGUGAGGUAACGGCUCACCAAGGCUUUGAUCGGUA
Molecule: ribosomal RNA, 263 nt
Filed under: uncultured bacterium
Lineage: Bacteria
Description: partial small subunit ribosomal RNA
Rfam family: Bacterial small subunit ribosomal RNA
Source: RNAcentral